RNAcentral lists this ribosomal RNA (253 nucleotides) under uncultured bacterium. Its description in RNAcentral is "partial 16S ribosomal RNA". It matches the Rfam family "Bacterial small subunit ribosomal RNA", at positions 524 to 776 of the family's 1533-position model. The record is from RNAcentral.
UACGGAGGGUGCGAGCGUUGUCCGGAUUUAUUGGGUUUAAAGGGUGCGUAGGCGGCCGUUUAAGUCCGGGGUGAAAGCCCACUGCUCAACAGUGGAACUGCCCUGGAAACUGGAGAACUUGAGUACAGACGAGGGCGGCGGAAUGGAUGGUGUAGCGGUGAAAUGCAUAGAUACCAUCCAGAACCCCGAUUGCGAAGGCAGCUGCCUAGACUGUAACUGACGCUGAGGCACGAAAGCGUGGGGAGCAAACAGG